CGUGUGAGACAAAGGGCCCGCGACUCAAACAGAGCAUUUGGACUAUAUCACUCUAACUCUGCAGCAAGCUUUCCUGAAGUGGAGUUGGAGAUAGCAUUUCAGUAAAUGUCCUUUACCCACUGCUUAUUCGGGACACACCCUGUUGACUGCUAGAAAUUUUCAUGGGACACAAUUUUGGGAAGUGAGACAUUAGGAGAAGUGAGCUGUCCUCUCCUGACAAGAAAUGUGCUUGGCAGGCUGUGAGUACACGAGGAGUUGAAAGAGUAAAAAGGUGAUCGUCUCAGUGGACUAACUUCCAAUACUACAUUGACUAAAUGUGGGAAAAGUGGAGAAAACUCAUUGUGUUCCUGAUAUUAGAAGAAAAGCUUUCAGUCCUUCACCAUUGAGUAUGACAAUCAGCUCUGAGAAUUUCCAUAUAUAGCCUUUAUUUUGCUGGGGUAGUUUAUUCUCCUUCUAGUUAUUUGGUAUUUCAAUCAUGAAAAGGUGCUAGGUGCUGAAUUUUGUGAAACUGAAUGUUCUGCAUUCACUGACAUGAUGUGAUUUAUACCUUCCACUCUGCUCAUGUGGAGUAUUACAUUGAUAUUUGUAUGUUGAACCAUAAUUAUAUUCGCCUUCCAGGAAUAAAACAGUUCGGUCACUAAGUGUAAUCCUUUUAAUAUGCUGCUGGAUCUUGCUGGUAUUUUGCUGGUGAAUUCUUGCAUCAGUAUUCAUAAGGGAUAUUGGUGUAUAAUUUUAUUGAAUUGUCUUUUUCUGGUUUGGCAUCAGGGUAAUACUGACCUGACAGAAGGAUCAAAGAAGUGUUCUCUCUUCUUGCAUUUUUGGGAAGAGGUUGAGCAGCUAUGGUGUUAAAUGUUCCUUAAAUGUGUUGAAGCGUUUGCCAGUGAAGCCAUCUGAUCCUGGGCUUUUCUACAUUGGGAGGUUUUGGAUUACUGAUUCAAUCUCCUUACUAGUUAGAGGUCUACUCAGAUUUUUUUGUCUUCAUAAUUCAGAUUUGGUAAGGUGUAUGCUUUAAGGAAUUUGUCUAUUUCAUCUAGUUAUACAAAUUCUUGGCAUACAAUUGUAUAUAGUAUUCUAUUACAAUCAUCUUUAUUUCUGUAAAAAUUGGUAAUAAUGUCCCCUCUUGUUUCUGAUUUAGUUUCUUGAGCCUUCUGUCUUCAUUUUUUAUUCAAUCUCACUGAAGUUUUCAUAAUUUUCUUAUGAAAAUAACCAACUCU
This 1214-nucleotide long non-coding RNA is filed under the name Homo sapiens (human). Its description in RNAcentral is "HSALNT0398152". The record is from RNAcentral. Lineage: Eukaryota; Metazoa; Chordata; Mammalia; Primates; Hominidae.